GAGCAUAUGAUGAAAGCAAUUGGAAUUUUGUUUCUGAUUGGCUAGUCCAUGAUGCUUCCAAAAAUCGAGCUUUUUAAAUCUGAUGCUCA
Ziziphus jujuba (common jujube) is the source of this 89-nucleotide small nucleolar RNA. The record is from RefSeq and is a predicted model, not a curated record. NCBI's taxonomy places the organism in Eukaryota, Viridiplantae, Streptophyta, Magnoliopsida, Rosales, Rhamnaceae.